Long non-coding RNA from Rosa chinensis, 947 nucleotides. RefSeq lists it as uncharacterized. NCBI's taxonomy places the organism in Eukaryota, Viridiplantae, Streptophyta, Magnoliopsida, Rosales, Rosaceae. The transcript is spliced from 2 exons. The record is from RefSeq and is a predicted model, not a curated record.
UUGCUUUCAAGGAUUUUCAAGUUCUUCGUCUCAAAGCUUUGUCAUUCAUCUUUCACGGUGUGUACCCUCAAUCCCCGGCUUGAACGAUCCCUACGUAUUUAAUGCUAACAACUAAAUUUUUCAGGAUUAAAUUGCGCGCUUACUUCUAGCGUAUCAGAAAAAAGUAAAUUUCUAAGCGCAAAUGGCUUCCAAGAAAUUAAUUUUCAAGACCGAAACAAUGAUGUUUAAUGGUCGAUUGUUUUUUAAUGUCCCUACGAACCUCUUUUUUGGAGUAGCACAAACCCCCACAGUUCGACUUAAUUAUCCCAAGUUAUAAGAAAGAUGGAAGGUAGAAGAAACUAAGAAAGGAUAUUAGAAUCCCCGAAUACAAAAAGCAAAUAUUAAAUUGAAAGCAGCAACUCUUAUUAAAAACUUACCAGCAACUCUUAUUAAAAACUUACUUGGAAUAAGGUUGCUUCGUUUGAUGCUUUGAAGCGGCAGCUUGACGUAGAAGUGCUACAGCGGUGUAGCAGCACUUGACGGUGGAGCAGUGGCGCACGGUGGUGUAAUGGUGGCACACGGAGGUGGUGCGGUGGUGCAUGAUGGUGACGCACGGUGGUGAUGCUCAUAGAGGGUAGAAGUUUUAGGAUUUUUCUAGGAUUUAGGCUAUUUGAAUCAGAGUUAGAAUUUCAUGCUGAUAACGUGUUGUAGAAUAAAGGAAAAAAUGAUUUUUUUUUCCUUGUUUGCUUAGUAAUUUAGUUCCAAUUACCAACUUUGAUUACUAGUUAGCCACUAAUCUUCUGAAGUACAAUAAAAUGGGAUGUAAAUAACCGUAUUGAUUGUCAUGCAAUAGGCGUAAAAUAACGCUCAAAUCAAUACAACAUAUUAAAUUAGUAAUAUAUACGGAAUUUACAAACGACAGAAAAAAUUUAUAUAUAUGGAAGUUGUCCAAAACAUCUUUUUCUUUA